RNAcentral lists this ribosomal RNA (608 nucleotides) under uncultured fungus. RNAcentral's name for it is "eukaryotic LSU rRNA". The stretch from base 243 to 396 matches the Rfam family "5.8S ribosomal RNA". Lineage: Eukaryota; Fungi. The record is from RNAcentral.
AGUAAAAGUCGUAACAAGGUCUCCGUUGGUGAACCAGCGGAGGGAUCAUUACAGAGUUGCAAAACUCCCACAAACCAUCGCGAAUCUUACCCGUACGGUUGCCUCGGCGCUGGCGGUCCGGAAAGGCCCUCGGGCCCUCCCGGAUCCUCGGGUCUCCCGCUCGCGGGAGGCUGCCCGCCGGAGUGCCGAAACUAAACUCUUGAUAUUUUAUGUCUCUCUGAGUAAACUUUUAAAUAAGUCAAAACUUUCAACAACGGAUCUCUUGGUUCUGGCAUCGAUGAAGAACGCAGCGAAAUGCGAUAAGUAAUGUGAAUUGCAGAAUUCAGUGAAUCAUCGAAUCUUUGAACGCACAUUGCGCUCGCCAGUAUUCUGGCGAGCAUGCCUGUUCGAGCGUCAUUUCAACCAUCAAGCUCUGCUUGCGUUGGGGAUCCGCGGCUGUCCGCGGUCCCUCAAAAUCAGUGGCGGGCUCGCUAGUCACACCGAGCGUAGUAACUCUACAUCGCUAUGGUCGUGCGGCGGGUUCUUGCCGUAAAACCCCCCAUUUCUAAGGUUGACCUCGGAUCAGGUAGGAAUACCCGCUGAACUUAAGCAUAUCAAUAAGCGGAGGA